AACGAACGCUGGCGGCAUGCCUAACACAUGCAAGUCGAACGAGACCUUCGGGUCUAGUGGCGCACGGGUGCGUAACGCGUGGGAACCUGCCCUUAGGUUCGGAAUAACUCCCCGAAAGGGGUGCUAAUACCGGAUAAUGUCUUCGGACCAAAGAUUUAUCGCCUUUGGAUGGGCCCGCGUUGGAUUAGCUAGUUGGUAGGGUAAAAGCCUACCAAGGCGACGAUCCAUAGCUGGUCUGAGAGGAUGAUCAGCCACACUGGGACUGAGACACGGCCCAGAAUCCUACGGGAUGCAGCAGUGGGGAAUAUUGCACUAUCGGCGGAAGGCUGAUGCAGCAAUGCCGCGUGAGUGAUGAAGUCCUUAGAGUUGUAAAGCUCUUUUACCCGGGAUGAUAAUGACAGUACCGGGAGAAUAAGCUCCGGCUAACUCCGUG
This 433-nucleotide ribosomal RNA is filed under the name uncultured bacterium. RNAcentral's name for it is "partial 16S ribosomal RNA". It matches the Rfam family "Bacterial small subunit ribosomal RNA", at positions 29 to 507 of the family's 1533-position model. The record is from RNAcentral.